RNAcentral lists this ribosomal RNA (376 nucleotides) under uncultured bacterium. RNAcentral describes it as "bacterial SSU rRNA". It matches the Rfam family "Bacterial small subunit ribosomal RNA", at positions 524 to 898 of the family's 1533-position model. The record is from RNAcentral.
UACGUAGGUGGCGAGCGUUGUCCGGAAUUACUGGGUGUAAAGGGUGCGUAGGCGGGUAAUUAAGUCAGAUGUGAAAUGCCGAAGCUCAACUUCGGAGCUGCAUUUGAAACUGAUUAUCUUGAGUGAAGUAGAGGCAAGCGGAAUUCCCAGUGUAGCGGUGAAAUGCGUAGAUAUUGGGAGGAACACCAGUGGCGAAGGCGGCUUGCUGGGCUUUAACUGACGCUGAGGCACGAAAGCAUGGGGAGCAAACAGGAUUAGAUACCCUGGUAGUCCAUGCUGUAAACGAUGGAUACUAGGUGUGGGGGGUAUUGACCCCUCCCGUGCCGGAGUUAACACAAUAAGUAUCCCACCUGGGGAGUACGGCCGCAAGGUUGAA